UGCCAGACUCCUACGGGAGGCAGCAGUGAGGAAUAUUGGUCAAUGGCCGAGAGGCUGAACCAGCCAAGUCGCGUGAGGGAAGAAUGUCCUAAGGAUUGUAAACCUCUUUUGUCGGGGAGCAAAAAGGCUCUGCGGAGUCGUAUUGAGAGUACCCGAAGAAAAAGCAUCGGCUAACUCCGUGCCAGCAGCCGCGGUAAUACGGAGGAUGCGAGCGUUAUCCGGAUUUAUUGGGUUUAAAGGGUGCGUGGGCGGAUUGAUAAGUUAGAGGUGAAAUGUCCGAGCUUAACUCGGGAACUGCCUCUAAUACUGUUGAUCUAGAGAGUAGAUGCGGUAGGCGGAAUGUAUGGUGUAGCGGUGAAAUGCUUAGAGAUCAUACAGAACACCGAUUGCGAAGGCAGCUUACCAAUCUAUAUCUGACGUUGAGGCACGAAAGCGUGGGGAGCAAACAGGAUUAGAUACCCCUGUA
Molecule: ribosomal RNA, 466 nt
Filed under: uncultured bacterium
Lineage: Bacteria
Description: bacterial SSU rRNA
Rfam family: Bacterial small subunit ribosomal RNA
Source: RNAcentral